GAUGAACGCUAGCGAUAGGCUUAACACAUGCAAGUCGAGGGGCAGCAUGGUCUUAGCUUGCUAAGACUGAUGGCGACCGGCGCACGGGUGCGUAACGCGUAUGCAACUUGCCUCACAGAGGGGGAUAACCCGUCGAAAGACGGACUAAUACCGCGUACACUCCACUUUGGGCAUCCAAAGUAGAGGAAAUGAAAUUCGCUGUGAGAUAGGCAUGCGUCCCAUUAGCUAGUUGGUGAGGUAACGGCUCACCAAGGCGACGAUGGGUAGGGGAACUGAGAGGUUGAACCCCCACACUGGUACUGAGACACGGACCAGACUCCUACGGGAGGCAGCAGUGAGGAAUAUUGGUCAAUGGGCGAGAGCCUGAACCAGCCAAGUCGCGUGAAGGAUGACUGUCUUAUGGAUUGUAAACUUCUUUUAUACGGGAAUAACAAGAGCCACGUGUGGCUCCCUGCAUGUACCGUAUGAAUAAGCAUCGGCUAACUCCGUGCCAGCAGCCGCGGUAAUACGGAGGAUGCGAGCGUUAUCCGGAUUUAUUGGGUUUAAAGGGUGCGUAGGCGGCCUGUUAAGUCAGCGGUGAAAUCUAGGAGCUUAACUCCUAAAUUGCCAUUGAUACUGGCGGGCUUGAGUGUAGAUGAGGUAGGCGGAAUGCGUGGUGUAGCGGUGGAAUGCAUAGAUAUCACGCAGAACUCCGAUUGCGAAGGCAGCUUACUAAGGUACAACUGACGCUGAGGCACGAAAGCGUGGGUAUCAAACAGGAUUAGAUACCCUGGUAGUCCACGCAGCAAACGAUGAUAACUGGGCGUAUGCGAUAUACAGUAUGCUCCUAAGCGAAA
This 836-nucleotide ribosomal RNA is filed under the name uncultured Bacteroidota bacterium. RNAcentral's name for it is "bacterial SSU rRNA". It matches the Rfam family "Bacterial small subunit ribosomal RNA", at positions 28 to 856 of the family's 1533-position model. Lineage: Bacteria; Pseudomonadati; Bacteroidota. The record is from RNAcentral.